GAUACAUGUCAGCACUGGCCGUUGCAGACUUGCUAGUAUUGUCGAUAUCGGCCGUUGAAGUUUGGUUAUACUAUACGCUACAAAUUCACCUUCAAGAGUCUUCCCUUGCGGUGUGUCAUGCUGUACUGUUCUGUUUCCCUGUACUGAGAGCGAUCUCGGCAUGGAUAUUGGUCGUCGCUACAGUCGAGCGAGCAAUGGGAGUUUGGAUGCCACACAACGUUAAACUGAUAUGUCGUCCCAACAUAGCUGCUGUCAUUAUCGCUCUCAUUAUCGGAUUCUCUCAGUUGUAUACCUUCCGUUGUACACCGGAUUGUCAAUUGUUGAAGUAAACAACACAGGAACAAAACAUAAAAUAUGUUUUUACCAAGAUAAUUCGAUAUGGAUGGCUCACUAUACUAUCUUUACAGUUUUAGAUGUUUUUAUGUUUUUUGUUUGUCCGUUCUGCAUAAUAAUCGUAUGUAACAUGUCCAUUUUAAUUAAAAUCAUAAAUGGCAAAAAAGCAGUUCAACCACGGGGAUGUCAAACGACAAGUCAUAACGGACGCAAAUGGUUAAAACUGUUACAUGGCGAAUAGUUAUUUUGAGCUUCACAUUCUGCUUUUGCAUUGCCCCUGGUGCCAUUUACGAGACACUACGGUUGACAUCGGUCGUUGCAUGGUAUCCCGUUGUGGGUGACGUUUGCAUGAUUAUUAUGUUUUUGAAUAACGGAGUGAAUUUUCUUCUAUACUGUUUAAUAGGAUCAGAAUUUAGAGAGGAUUUGAUGGCAAUGUGUAAAAUUAGAAGCCCAACCUAGUAUUAGUGAUAAGUCCUUUCGUCCAUUCAUUUACCGGUACACAAAGAUAAGAUAGCCAAUGGUUUUGUAUUUUUAUUCAAAGAGUAGAGUUAACGUCUAUUUUAAAUAACAUGUAUUUGCGUCGUUAACCUAAGGUUUAGUUAUCUAACUCGAAAAAAUAACAUUGUAUUCAAAUUAUAACUUUUUCUGUAUUGAACAAAUUUCCAUGUUCACCCGUCAAAAAUAGUUAAAUAAAUUACAUUUUUAAUUGAAAAUAUCCUGACACAUUGGAAAAGAAAAACGUUUGCACCUGUUCGAAAGAUAGCUAUUGUAAAAUCACGUAUUAUGUCAUUUUCAAUCACUUGUUCAUAUCACUGCAUAGCCACGAAAUACAAUUUUAAAUUCAAUAAAUAUCAUAUUCUGACUUUUAUUUGGAACGUGCAUAGUAAUGGAAAAUUAACAACAAUAUUUAAAAAAUAUAGUA
This is a long non-coding RNA of Dreissena polymorpha, 1255 nucleotides long. RefSeq lists it as uncharacterized. The record is from RefSeq and is a predicted model, not a curated record. The transcript has 3 exons. Lineage: Eukaryota; Metazoa; Mollusca; Bivalvia; Myida; Dreissenidae.